RNAcentral lists this ribosomal RNA (305 nucleotides) under uncultured bacterium. Its description in RNAcentral is "bacterial SSU rRNA". It matches the Rfam family "Bacterial small subunit ribosomal RNA", at positions 333 to 635 of the family's 1533-position model. The record is from RNAcentral.
UUUUGCCUACGGGACGCAGCAGUGAGGAAUAUUGGUCAAUGGGAGAGAUCCUGAACCAGCCAAGCCGCGUGAGGGAAGACGGCCCUAUGGGUUGUAAACCUCUUUUGUCGGAGAACAAAACCCGGGACGUGUCCCGGACUGCGUGUAUCCGAAGAAAAAGCAUCGGCUAACUCCGUGCCAGCAGCCGCGGUAAUACGGAGGAUGCGAGCGUUAUCCGGAUUUACUGGGUGUAAAGGGAGCGUAGACGGUGCGUCAAGUCUGAAGUGAAAGCCCGGGGCUUAACCCCGGGACUGCUUUGGAAACUG